UUUGUUUUUAGUGCUUUGUUUUUUACAAUUAAAAUAUGUUUUAAUCUUUUUGUUGGUAAACUCCUCAUUUAAUGAACUAUAUUCGUGGUGUGAUUGCCAAUAAGACAAUUCUCUAUCCAAGACUUGUUUUCGCUCAAAUGUCCUACGCUUAUUCUUAUUUUCGCUCAAAUGUCCUAAAAUUUAGGCGCUCAAAUGUCCUAUACUUUGGCGCUCAAACGUCCUUUUUUUUCUCGCUCAAAUGUCCUGUCAAUGCGCUCAAAUGUCCAUUGCCGAAA
Molecule: long non-coding RNA, 275 nt
Filed under: Mytilus galloprovincialis (Mediterranean mussel)
Lineage: Eukaryota; Metazoa; Mollusca; Bivalvia; Mytilida; Mytilidae
Source: RNAcentral